CAGAUCGUCUCGUUGUGGAACGAGAUGAGCACCAUGAACGCCCUCCUCGUGAAGCUCUCUCGGGCGGCGGCGCUCGACGAGCAGCAGAGGGACUGACGUGACAAGGUGCGCGAGCUCUCCUACAACAUGGAGGACUGCGUCGACGUCUUCACCCAUGAACUCAACGGCGGCGGCCAUGGCGGCAAGGCCUGGCUUAAGCGCAGGCUCAGAAAGAUCAAGACGCGCCACAAGAUCGCCGGCCGCAUCGAGGAGCUCAAGGCUCGGGCGCUAGAAGUAAGCAGCUGCCACAGUAGGAAUAAGACUGAUGAGUGCACCUUUUCUCCUGACUGCAUCGCAUCUCCUGGGGGCCUGGUGACUAUUGACCCUCGAAUGGAGGCACCCUAUGUAGACGCCAACAGCCUCAUAGGCAUAGACGGCCCGACGGGGAAGCUCAUCAAGUUGCAAAUCGCCUUAGAGUGGAUCGCCUCCCUGAAUAGCAGCGCCACUGCUGAAGCCUUCCUGACGCCGAAACUGAUGACGUCGUCGGAGUCCAUGGAUUGA
RNAcentral lists this ribosomal RNA (540 nucleotides) under Triticum aestivum (bread wheat). RNAcentral's name for it is "partial small subunit ribosomal RNA". Lineage: Eukaryota; Viridiplantae; Streptophyta; Magnoliopsida; Poales; Poaceae. The record is from RNAcentral.